Molecule: ribosomal RNA, 499 nt
Filed under: uncultured bacterium
Lineage: Bacteria
Description: partial 16S ribosomal RNA
Rfam family: Bacterial small subunit ribosomal RNA
Source: RNAcentral
GACGAACGCUGGCGGCGUGCCUAAUACAUGCAAGUCGAGCGAAGUUUUUCUGGUGCCUGCACCGGAAAAACUUAGCGGCGAACGGGUGAGUAACACGUAAAGAACCUGCCUCAUAGACUGGGACAACUAUUGGAAACGAUAGCUAAUACCGGAUAACAGCAUUAACUGCAUGGUUGAUGUUUAAAAGUUGGUUUUGCUAACACUAUGAGAUGGCUUUGCGGUGCAUUAGCUAGUUGGUGGGGUAAAGGCCUACCAAGGCGACGAUGCAUAGCCGACCUGAGAGGGUGAUCGGCCACCCUGGGACUGAGACACGGCCCAGACUCCUACGGGAGGCAGCAGUAGGGAAUCUUCCGCAAUGGGCGAAAGCCUGACGGAGCAACGCCGCGUGAGUGAAGAAGGAUUUCGGUUCGUAAAGCUCUGUUGUUAGGGAAGAAUGAUUGUGUAGUAACUAUACACAGUAGAGACGGUACCUAACCAGAAAGCCACGGCUAACUACGUG